GAUUGAACGCUGGCGGCAGGCCUAACACAUGCACGUCGAGCGGAUGAAGGGAGCUUGCUCCUGGAUUCAGCGGCGGACGGGUGAGUAAUGCCUAGGAAUCUGCCUGGUAGUGGGGGAUAACGUCCGGAAACGGGCGCUAAUACCGCAUACGUCCUGAGGGAGAAAGUGGGGGAUCUUCGGACCUCACGCUAUCAGAUGAGCCUAGGUCGGAUUAGCUAGUUGGUGGGGUAAAGGCCUACCAAGGCGACGAUCCGUAACUGGUCUGAGAGGAUGAUCAGUCACACUGGAACUGAGACACGGUCCAGACUCCUACGGGAGGCAGCAGUGGGGAAUAUUGGACAAUGGGCGAAAGCCUGAUCCAGCCAUGCCGCGUGUGUGAAGAAGGUCUUCGGAUUGUAAAGCACUUUAAGUUGGGAGGAAGGGCAGUAAGUUAAUACCUUGCUGUUUUGACGUUACCAACAGAAUAAGCACCGGCUAACUUCGUG
This 485-nucleotide ribosomal RNA is filed under the name uncultured bacterium. RNAcentral describes it as "partial 16S ribosomal RNA". It matches the Rfam family "Bacterial small subunit ribosomal RNA", at positions 27 to 507 of the family's 1533-position model. The record is from RNAcentral.